Molecule: ribosomal RNA, 423 nt
Filed under: uncultured bacterium
Lineage: Bacteria
Description: bacterial SSU rRNA
Rfam family: Bacterial small subunit ribosomal RNA
Source: RNAcentral
AUAUUGCACAAUGGGGGAAACCCUGAUGCAGCCAUGCCGCGUGUAUGAAGAAGGCCUUCGGGUUGUAAAGUACUUUCAGUUGUGAGGAAGGCGUUGGAGUUAAUAGCUUCAGCGCUUGACGUUAGCAACAGAAGAAGCACCGGCUAACUCCGUGCCAGCAGCCGCGGUAAUACGGAGGGUGCGAGCGUUAAUCGGAAUUACUGGGCGUAAAGCGCAUGCAGGCGGUCUGUUAAGCAAGAUGUGAAAGCCCGGGGCUCAACCUCGGAACAGCAUUUUGAACUGGCAGACUAGAGUUUUGUAGAGGGGGGUAGAAUUUCAGGUGUAGCGGUGAAAUGCGUAGAGAUCUGAAGGAAUACCGGUGGCGAAGGCGGCCCCCUGGACAAAGACUGACGCUCAGAUGCGAAAGCGUGGGGAGCAAACAGG